CGGUGAUAAUCCAGUUUUUCAUUUUUGCUUUGAAGAAUCGGCAGAAUCAAACAAACUGGAGAUAGAGAAGAAUGAAGAAAAAUUAGCAGAGUUAGAAAGUUAAAUUGAGGAGGGCAGAAACAAAGGGAUGCUCUUCAAGAACCUGAGGCUUCACCUUUUGAAAAAGAAAAGGUAAAAGUGGUCCAGUGGAGCUAUAAAAGAUUAGAGAUCUUACAAAGGAAAGCGCCGGAUUAAAAACUAGGAGGAAAUUUACCUUGUACUUGUUGGUCUGCUAGUCAUUGGCAUUGUUGACUCCUUGAUCUCUUCAUCAUCUGAUUGGCACAAAGUUCGAUUUUUGUGGUAAUUUUGGUCGGUGUGCUUUCACAAGUCAUCUACGAGCAGAGCAUGCUGUCAGAAACAGAACAAUCACAUGAAGCAAAAACAGAGGAAGAGGAAGAGAAAGAGUGAUAACUUUUCUUGCCGUUUUAUUCUAUAUUUACUAUAGAGUUUUUUACUUCAUAUUAAUUUUCUUUUCUGUUUUUUCUUUUCUUUUUUUUGUUUAGUCACUUCACUUGAAUAUAGCAUGAUACAUAACCCCAAGAAAGAUUUUUACUACUUGGGACUGAUAAAUCAAGCUACUUUGCUUUUGCAUCAUCAUUCAUACUUGGUGAUAUUUCUGUAAUCACCAAAUCCUUGUUUAAUCAGAUGCCUAUGUGGCUAUGUUACAUUUCCAGUAGUAUACUGGAACAAACAAAGAGUUGAGAUAUUUAUUAAUAUUGUAAGGUUAAAAGACUUAAUGAACUUAUGAACAUAUAUUUAUACAGUAUUUAUCUUUUGUCCUCUGCAAAUGAAUUUUGAUAACCAAAUAUGAAUAUCACGUGAGGCAUAACCCCUAGCAAGAUCUUAUUACUUGGGACUAUAUAAUCAGGCUUCUUUGCUUUUGCAUCAUCAUCCGUUUUAGGUGAUAUAUCUGUAAUCACCAAAAACCAGUUGUAUCUGAUGCUUUACAUGGGUCUUUUCUUCAUCAAUAAUUUUUUUUUUUUAAAAAAAAGAGAAAGAGCCGGGACUUUAGCAUUACCAGUUACCUGAAUCUCAAAAGCACAGAAAGAAACAGAAGAAAUAACUGAAAUACAUAUAUAUUGUGUAGUAUUUACAAUUAACAUAAUUUUGUAGUUUAUUUUUCAGCCAAAAUUAUAGUAAAAUAUUCAAGUCUCAUUGUUACUUCAUCAAACAAGACAUCCAAAAUAUAACAUUUUAAUUAAAAUAAUUUUACAGGGUAGCAGAUCCGUACUUGUCACUUGUCAAUCAUCUAAUCACGCAUAGUGAAAUUGAUUGGAUGAAUUAUUUUACAGGGGAGCAAAUACAUACUAGUAACUCCAAAAUACUAAAAACAAUUCUAGCAAUUUUAAACAUGCAAAGAGCGGAACUGAGUAUAUCAAAUGUAGAACUGAUUUUUGGAGAAUGAAAGUUAAUGACGUCAGUUCUGGGAACUUACCUCUUCGCCAACUAGAUUACUUUGAGAAGUCUCUGUACAACAGGCAGCAUUGGCAAACAUAUCAAAUUAAACCUGCCAAGAUACAGACGAUACCUUAGGAAACAAGUAAACAACUCAAAAAAAGAAUAAAGCAGCAAACAGAAUUCAGAUGAGCAAAGUAGCAGCUCAUACAUUAAUGGAAAAGUUAUCCGUAUGUAUAAUUGAACUGUGGAUAGAAACUUAUGCUCUCCAAACCAAACAUAUAACUAUUUGAAAAAAUCCAACAUUUUUCAUAGAUGCAUGAAAGGUAUCUUACACUCGCUUCUUAGAAUGCAGGACCAUACCACUGAUACAAAUUUGCAGUCAUUAGAUUUGUGAAAAAUGACAAGUCUUGUGGGUUACAAGAGUUGGGGCACAUGUCCACUGAUCAUUGACAAAUAUAGCUGCAACACAUAACACCCCUCUCCACCCCGACAAGCAUAAUCCAUGUAUCUAACUACUAUAUGUAAAUAAAUUCACCCUAUGACUCAGGUUCUAGUGAAAACAAUAAAAGUCUAGUUGUGCUCCAGUUGAACGGGUAAAAGUUCAUGCUCAUUCUGAAUUAUCCUAUCGGACCUAUUCCAUAUCUACAAACUCUCACAUUAAUUUUCUCGCACGAGCACAAACCAGUAAUCAUAACAGUAUAAGUACCAACAUUAGCGUAAAAAGAUGACCUUUAAAAUCAACUUCUUCUACACCUUAUUAGCUGCCACCAAAUCUCCUUACUUGAAACCCCAUUAAUUAGAAUAUUAUAACACAUCACGUACAACCUAACCGCAUCCCAUUACUUAGCACUCUUGGCAAACCCAUUGAUGACAAUUUGAUAACUGGAUACAAUCCAGCGUUAAACCCUGACCCCACAUUCAAUCCAAGAUUUCCUGAGCCUUAUCAAAAUGCUUCUUCUUACAUGAAAUUUUCAACACAAUGUUAAAGGCUCCAAAUUAGACCACAUGCCCAUUGUUUCAAAAUCUAAAAAAAAAGCUAAGCUCGAUUCCAGUGACUUGAUGAAGCAACAAAAGCAUACACCAGAAAGUAUAUGACCUUAUUCCGGGUUAACACCCAAAUUACGUUAAAUCUGUAAGAAAACAUUUAGCUCACAUUCAACCAUAAAGUUCUGAGAACAUACCUUAAUUACCGUCAAAGCAACAUCUUCAUUGCAUUUUCAUUUCUGGGUUUGUAUUAACUCACGAUUUGAGUUGCACGAGAGACGAGUUUUGGGUCGGCGACAAAACGGAAGAUAUGGUGGAAGACAGUGACCGUGCGGGUUUAAC
This 2763-nucleotide long non-coding RNA is filed under the name Panax ginseng (ginseng). RNAcentral's name for it is "long non-coding RNA (PGIN_LNC002228)". The record is from RNAcentral. Lineage: Eukaryota; Viridiplantae; Streptophyta; Magnoliopsida; Apiales; Araliaceae.